Small nuclear RNA from Rhea pennata, 186 nucleotides. RefSeq annotates it as U2 spliceosomal RNA. Lineage: Eukaryota; Metazoa; Chordata; Aves; Rheiformes; Rheidae. The record is from RefSeq and is a predicted model, not a curated record. The transcript has a single exon.
GUUGCUUCUUAGCCUUUUGGCUCAGAAUUAAAUAGUUCUUAUCAUUUUAAUCUCUGAUACACCAUUGGUUGGAUUGGACAUUAUACCUGAAGGUUGUUUGGUACUGGGAGAUGAAUGAGGUGCUUCCUCCAUCUACUCCAGGGACGAGCUUGGUACAGUAGUGUUCCCAGGAACAGUGUGAAAAGC